UUCAUGAAGCCGGAAUUGCUAGUAAUGGCAGGUCAGCAUACUGCCGUGAAUACGUUCCCGGGCCCUUGUACACACCGCCCGUCACACCAUGAGAGUUGGGGAUACCCGAAGCCUGUGAGCUAACUAUUUAUAGGAGCAGCAGUCGAAGGUAGAAUCAAUGAUUGGGUGAAGUCGUAACAAGGUAUC
This 186-nucleotide ribosomal RNA is filed under the name uncultured bacterium. RNAcentral describes it as "partial 16S ribosomal RNA". It matches the Rfam family "Bacterial small subunit ribosomal RNA", at positions 1317 to 1500 of the family's 1533-position model. The record is from RNAcentral.